This 108-nucleotide microRNA precursor is filed under the name Caenorhabditis briggsae. RNAcentral's name for it is "microRNA cbr-mir-1817 precursor". Lineage: Eukaryota; Metazoa; Nematoda; Chromadorea; Rhabditida; Rhabditidae. The record is from miRBase by way of RNAcentral.
UUCAUAUUUUGAGCAGCCAAUGCCACGACUGUCAUGGUCUAAAAAUCCGAUAGCUGGAUAAUCCGAUAGUUCAUGACAGUGGUACAUUGUCUACUCGAAAUUUUUGAA